GGCCGGUUAGCUCAGUGGGUUGAAUGCGGUGCUGAUAACACCGAGAUCGCGGGUUCAGUUCCCGUUCGGUCU
Molecule: transfer RNA, 72 nt
Filed under: Apaloderma vittatum (bar-tailed trogon)
Lineage: Eukaryota; Metazoa; Chordata; Aves; Trogoniformes; Trogonidae
Rfam family: tRNA
About the family: Transfer RNA (tRNA) molecules are approximately 80 nucleotides in length. Their secondary structure includes four short double-helical elements and three loops (D, anti-codon, and T loops). Further hydrogen bonds mediate the characteristic L-shaped molecular structure. tRNAs have two regions of fundamental functional importance: the anti-codon, which is responsible for specific mRNA codon recognition, and the 3' end, to which the tRNAs corresponding amino acid is attached (by aminoacyl-tRNA synthetases). tRNAs cope with the degeneracy of the genetic code in two manners: having more than one tRNA (with a specific anti-codon) for a particular amino acid; and 'wobble' base-pairing, i.e. permitting non-standard base-pairing at the 3rd anti-codon position.
Source: Rfam by way of RNAcentral